RNA transcript from Anopheles merus, 3139 nucleotides. RefSeq lists it as uncharacterized. The record is from RefSeq and is a predicted model, not a curated record. Lineage: Eukaryota; Metazoa; Arthropoda; Insecta; Diptera; Culicidae. The transcript has 2 exons.
AAAAAAAACCUAUUCAGUGAGUGUAAAAAAAAAAAGUAUAUAAAAAGGAUAAUCAGAACGUGUGUUAUGGGACAGCUAAGCUCAGUAGCUUGAUUGAAAAGUUCGUGUACAGUUCGGUUUUAUUUUUUUUCUGUCGAGGACAUUUUUUUUUCUCUGCAAAUAAUUUAUAAAAUGAAUACCAGUGGUGAUGAAGAAAGGCGCUCGAGUGCGGGUUUUAAUGUGCAACCAACGCACCAGCUACAAAAUGGUUCUGGUGAACCAUCAGUGCAGUAUCCUCCAUUACAAACGCCGCCAUCGGUGUCGAUGGAUAGUUCGUCGAUGAUGCAGAUCUUGCAAUUAAUGCAGCAGCAAAUGGCACAGCAGCAGAACAUUUUGGCGCAGUUAAUGCAGCAGCAAGGGUCAGGCCAAAGUUCAUCCACAUCACCGGAACAAAUUUUGGAUUCGUUGUGCAGCCACAUUAAAGAAUUUAGAUACGAUGCUGAGGCUGGAACGACAUUUGCCGCAUGGUACAACCGCUAUGAGGACCUGUUCGAAAGAGAUGCUGCCCGGUUGAGCGACGAAGCAAAAGUGCGCCUUCUCAUGCGCAAGCUAGGAACUCUUGAACAUGAUCGGUAUGUAAAUUUCAUCUUGCCAAAGUUCUCACGAGAUUUUUUAUUACCAGAGACGGUCGCUAAGCUGACAGAUUUGUUCGGAACUAAGGAGUCCCUGUUACAUCGACGGUUCAAAUGCUUAAAUACGGUGAAGGGGAAGACGGAAGAUUAUCUAGCGUACGCAUGUCGCGUCAACCGUGGUGUAGUCAACUUUGAGCUAGGCAAUUUGACGGAGGAGCAGCUCAAAUGCCUUGUAUUUGUUUGCGGGUUGAAAGAUGAUAAGGAUGUGGAAAUUCGGCAAAGACUGUUAGCGCGGAUCGAGGAACGUCCUGAAACCACUCUGGAGCAUAUUACAACCGAAUGUCAACGCAUUAUCAACUUAAGACACGACAGCGCAAUGAUCGAAAGAGAGAACACCGAACAAGUCUAUGCAGUGCAGCAUAAGGAAACACGGUUCCAGCAUUAUCGUAGCAACCUGUCAGAGAGGCCAUCCGAUUCGAAACCCCCUAGCAGAUCGUGUUGGCUAUGUGGAGGACUACACUGGUCUCGAGACUGUACGUACCGUACUCACAAAUGUACCGAUUGUGGAAGAAUAGGCCACAAAGAAGGGUUUUGCAGAACGUACAACAAUUAUCGUCGGAACUAUAACCAAACGAAUUUCAAUCGUCAGCAAGCAAAUACUAGAACGGUCUCAGUCAAUGUGCACAGCGUUCAGGAGAGAAGGAAGUAUGUACCUCUUAGCAUCAAUGGCAUUCACCUCCGGCUACAGCUCGACACCGCUUCUGACAUAUCAGUCAUUGGCAAAAAUACCUGGGAACUAAUUGGAGCACCCCCCUUUCCCCGCCAUCAGUCGAUGCCAAAACAGCAUCGGGAGCAGUGUUACCUAUAAUCGGCGAAUUCAGUGCCAACAUCACCAUCAGAGAAGAGCAGCGUGUCGAGACGGUUUAUGUUUCGCAAGCGGACUUAAAGCUGUUGGGAACCGACCUAAUCGAGGCUUUUUCCUUAUGGUCAGUGCCUGUUGAUCAGAUAUGCAACGCCAUUCAAUCAUCAACGAAUAAGGAGCUACGACUACGUUAUCCCAAGCUGUUUGGAGAGGGCAUGGGCCUAUGUACAAAGGGAAACGUUACUCUGCAGCUGAAGGAACAGUGUCGUCCAGUUUUCUGCCCUAAACGUCCAGUUGCAUACGCUAUGCUGGAUGCAGUCGACAAGGAACUGGACCGGCUGGAAAAGCUAGGAGUCAUCACACCAGUCGAUUUCUCGGACUGGGCCGCACCAAUUGUCGUCGUGCGGAAAGCAAACGGUCAGAUAAGGAUCUGCGGAGAUUACUCGACCGGUCUCAAUGGAGCCUUGCACCCCCAGGAGUACCCGCUUCCACUACCAGCAGAUAUUUUCGCCAGGCUAGGUCGAAAUUGCUGAGCAGAGUCGGAAGUUUCUAACCAUCAACACGCAUAAAGGGCUUUACUCCUACAACCGACUUCCACCGGGCAUCAAGGUAGCUCCUGCGGCUUUUCAACAGUUGAUGGACAAAAUGCUCAUUGGAUUGCGGGGAGUUUCCAGUUACAUGGAUGAUAUAAUUAUCGGAGGUACGAAUCAGAAAGAACAUGAUGAUAUUUUAAAUGAAACGCUCGCUAGAAUUCAAGAUUACGGUUUCACAAUUCGCGUAGAAAAAUGUUUUUUUAAUAAGAAGCAAAUACGGUAUCUAGGGCACAUAAUAGAUAGUCAGGGCAUCAGACCAGAUCCGGAAAAAGUUAAAGCUAUAACCAAUUUGCCAGCACCAUCAGAUGUCAGUGAAGUAAGGUCAUUCCUCGGAGCAAUCAAUUAUUAUGGGCGCUUUAUUCCAAAUCUACGAAAUUUGCGGUACCCACUGGAUGCACUACUAAAAGAAGGGAGAGAAUUUGCGUGGACUGCAGAAUGCCAGAAAGUUUUUGAAAAAUUCAAGUCAGUAUUGUCUUCAAACCUAUUAUUAACCCACUAUGAUCCGCGACUUGAGAUAGUGGUAUCAGCUGAUGCGUCUUCCGUUGGUCUGGGAGCAACUCUAAGUCACAAAUUUCCUGAUGGCAGUAUGAAGGUUGUACAACAUGCAUCACGAUCUCUUACAAAAGCCGAGCAAAGAUACAGUCAAAUCGACCGGGAGGGGCUAGCUAUCAUUUUCGCAGUGACCAAAUUUCAUAAGAUGAUAUUUGGUCGGCAUUUCCGUCUUCAGACAGAUCACAGGCCUCUUCUAAGAAUAUUUGGAAACAAGAAAGGUAUUCCGGUUUACACUGCAAACAGGUUACAGCGUUUUGCCCUUACGCUUUUAAUGUACGAUUUUGAAAUCGAAUAUGUAACCACGGAGAAAUUUGGAAAUGCCGACAUCCUAUCAAGAUUGAUAAGCGAGCACAGCAAGCCAGAUGAAGACUAUAUAAUCGCCAAUUUAGAGCUAGAGAAGGAUGUAAAAUCAGUAGUCAUCAGCAACAUCUCAUCCUUACCAAUCAAUUUUACGGAAGUAGCCAAACAAACGGGGAAAGAUUCAAUUUUAUCAAAGGUACUACAUUUUACACAAAACGGUU